UCCCUGCUGGCUCAGUUGGUAAAGAAUCUGCCUGAAAUGUGGAUGACCUAGGUUUGAUCCCUGGGUUGGGAA
This is a transfer RNA of Ovis aries (sheep), 72 nucleotides long. It matches the Rfam family "tRNA". Rfam says of the family: Transfer RNA (tRNA) molecules are approximately 80 nucleotides in length. Their secondary structure includes four short double-helical elements and three loops (D, anti-codon, and T loops). Further hydrogen bonds mediate the characteristic L-shaped molecular structure. tRNAs have two regions of fundamental functional importance: the anti-codon, which is responsible for specific mRNA codon recognition, and the 3' end, to which the tRNAs corresponding amino acid is attached (by aminoacyl-tRNA synthetases). tRNAs cope with the degeneracy of the genetic code in two manners: having more than one tRNA (with a specific anti-codon) for a particular amino acid; and 'wobble' base-pairing, i.e. permitting non-standard base-pairing at the 3rd anti-codon position. The record is from Rfam. Lineage: Eukaryota; Metazoa; Chordata; Mammalia; Artiodactyla; Bovidae.